Molecule: ribosomal RNA, 1361 nt
Filed under: bacterium NLAE-zl-C453
Lineage: Bacteria
Description: 16S ribosomal RNA
Rfam family: Bacterial small subunit ribosomal RNA
Source: RNAcentral
UANCGGCGGACGGGUGAGUAACGUGUGGGCAACCUGCCCUGUACUGUGGAAUAAUCACUGGAAACGGUGACUAAUACCGCAUGUCAUCACAAGGGGGCAUCCCCUUGUGAGAAAAGGAUNUAUUCGGUACAGGAUGGGCCCGCAUCUGAUUAGCUAGUUGGUGAGAUAACAGCCCACCAAGGCAACGAUCAGUAGCCGACCUGAGAGGGUGAUCGGCCACAUUGGGACUGAGACACGGCCCAAACUCCUACGGGAGGCAGCAGUGGGGAAUAUUGCACAAUGGGCGAAAGCCUGAUGCAGCAACGCCGCGUGAAGGAUGAAGGGUUUCGGCUCGUUAAACUUCUAUCCAAUAGGGACGAAAAAAAUGACGGUACCUAAAUAAGAAGCCCCGGGCUAAACUACGUGCCAGCAGCCGCGGUAAUACGUAGGGGGGCCAAGCGUUAUCCGGAAUUACUGGGUGUAAAGGGAGAGUAGGCGGCAUGGUAAGUUAGAUGUGAAAGCCCCGGGGCUUAACCUCGGGAUUGCAUUUAAAACUAUCAAGCUAGAGUACAGGAGAGGUAAGUGGAAUUCCUAGUGUAGCGGUGAAAUGCGUAGAUAUUAGGAAGAACACCAGUGGCGAAGGCGACUUACUGGACUGAAACUGACGCUGAGGCUCGAAAGCGUGGGGAGCGAACAGGAUUAGAUACCCUGGUAGUCCACGCCGUAAACGAUGAGUGCUAGGUGUCGGGGGGGAACCCUCGGUGCCGCAGCUAACGCAAUAAGCACUCCACCUGGGGAGUACGAUCGCAAGAUUGAAACUCAAAGGAAUUGACGGGGGCCCGCACAAGCGGUGGAGCAUGUGGUUUUAAUUCGAAGCAACGCGAAGAACCUUACCAAGGCUUGACAUCCCCUCUGACCGGUGUUAGAGAUACACCUUCUCUUCGGAGCAAAAGUGACAGGUGGUGCAUGGUUGUCGUCAGCUCCUGUCCUGAGAUGUUGGGUUAAGUCCCGCAACGAGCGCAACCCCUAUCCUUAGUAGCCAUCAUUCAGUUGGGCANCUCUAGGGAGACUGCCGUGGAUAACACGGAGGAAGGUGGGGAUGACGUCAAAUCAUCAUGCCCCUUAUGUCUUGGGCUACACACGUGCUACAAUGGCUGGUAACAAAGUGAUGCAAAACGGCGACGUCGAGCAAAUCACAAAAACCCAGUCCCAGUUCGGAUUGUAGUCUGCAACUCGACUACAUGAAGCUGGAAUCGCUAGUAAUCGCGAAUCAAAAUGUCGCGGUGAAUACGUUCCCGGGCCUUGUACACCCCUAAAGGGNCACCAUGGGAGUUGGAAGCACCCGAAGUCGGUGACCUAACCGUAAGGAAGAGCCGCCGAGG